RNAcentral lists this ribosomal RNA (300 nucleotides) under Triticum aestivum (bread wheat). RNAcentral's name for it is "partial small subunit ribosomal RNA". The record is from RNAcentral. Lineage: Eukaryota; Viridiplantae; Streptophyta; Magnoliopsida; Poales; Poaceae.
AUGAACGAAGAUCUUCAUGCAGAAUUCAUGUUGGUGACAGUUCUACAAGAUGCCGAGAAAAAUCUGGGCGCUCUCUUUAUUCAUCUGCUGGUUUGUAAGCUCGAGUGUGAUAUCAUGGUAGAGCCCAAGAACAGAAUAGUCUAUAGGCUCCCGCGACGGACAACAAUAUCCUUUUGCUCGUGUUCUGUUUUCUUCAAAGGUCAACAUCAGUGCACCGGCUAUGCAACCAAAAAUGCUGAAAGCCUUUUUGGUCUCCUCCCAUCCGGAUACCCAGUCAUAAUCGAGUUUGAGGAUAACUAG